CCCGCUGCACUUCAGCAUGAUCUAUAAGCGUAGGACAAGAAACCAUACCGGGAUUGCCUUAGUAUCGGCCAGUGAAGCGGCAAAAGCUCAAAUUUGAAAUCUGGCAGUAAUGUCCGAGUUGUAAUUUGAAGAAGGUUACUCUGGUGAUAGCUCUGGCGAUAUGUUCCUUGGAACAGGGCGUCUAUAGAGGGCGAGAAUCCCGUAUAUGGCGAGAUGACAUAUUACCAUGUUAAGUGCCUUCGAAGAGUCGAGUUGUUUGGGAAUGCAGCUCUAAGUGGGUGGUAAAUUCCAUCUACAGCUAAAUAUUGGCGAGAGUCCGAUAGCGAACAAGUACAGUGAUGGAAAGAUGAAAAGAACUUUGAAAAGAGAGUGAAAAAGUACGUGAAAUUGUUGACAGGGAAGGGCUUGAAAUCAGACUUGGUAUUCAAUGAUCAAUUUUCUUUCGGGGAGAUGCACUCCCUGUUUACUGGGCCAACAUCGAUUUAGCCGGUGAGAUAAUGACAGUUGACAUGUGGCUUGCUUCGGUAAGUGUUAUAGCUUCGGUCGAUAUCAUCAGUUCGGAUCGAGGACUGCGCAUUUUUGCUAGGAUGUUGGCGUAAUGAUUUUAAGCCACCCGUCGUGAAACACGG
RNAcentral lists this ribosomal RNA (629 nucleotides) under uncultured fungus. RNAcentral describes it as "eukaryotic LSU rRNA". It matches the Rfam family "Eukaryotic large subunit ribosomal RNA", at positions 24 to 664 of the family's 3401-position model. The record is from RNAcentral. Lineage: Eukaryota; Fungi.